Molecule: long non-coding RNA, 259 nt
Filed under: Lathyrus oleraceus (garden pea)
Lineage: Eukaryota; Viridiplantae; Streptophyta; Magnoliopsida; Fabales; Fabaceae
Description: Pisum sativum (pea) long non-coding RNA (PSAT_LNC029801)
Source: RNAcentral
UUUCAACACAUAAAUGGAGGAGUUUUAAAGCAAACAUAAAAAAAAAAUUCACACAUAAUAGUACACAAAUUUCAUCACCAACAUCAUCACAUAACCUCAAUUCAUCAACACAUUUAAGAAUUCAAUCAAAAACUCAACAAUCCUAUUGGAGGUUAAGGACUCCUUAUUAUACCCUUCAUGCAUUAUACCCCAUUUAUGAAUAAACCUCUCCCCUUACCUUAAUUUGUAGCAAGAAAUUUGAAUAUGAAUUGGUUUGAAU